RNAcentral lists this ribosomal RNA (360 nucleotides) under Triticum aestivum (bread wheat). RNAcentral describes it as "partial small subunit ribosomal RNA". The record is from RNAcentral. Lineage: Eukaryota; Viridiplantae; Streptophyta; Magnoliopsida; Poales; Poaceae.
AUGACUUUAUUUGAUGAUAAUCCCACUAUUUUGGAAGAGUGCCAACUUUGCAUGCAUGUGGAUCAUGAAGAGAAUAUUUUAUGUGAUAGUUAUAUUGUUGAAUUUUAUUAUGAUCCUACAUGUAAUUAUUAUGAAAGAGAAAAAUAUGGUUCUAGAAAUUUUCAUGUCACUAAAUUACCUCUCGUUAUGUUGAGAUUGCUAUUGUUUCUUUUUUCUUCCUUGCAUAUGCUAGUUUUUGCUUGUCUUGAUAAUUUGUUUGCUUAUAAAAUGCCUAUGCAUAGGAAGUAUAUUAGACUUAAACUUGUUUUUCACAUGCUACAUGAUGCUCUCUUCGUGAUUCAAUUGCUAUCUUUCAUGUGA